UGGGGAAUAUUGGACAAUGGGCGCAAGCCUGAUCCAGCCAUGCCGCGUGGAUGAAGAAGGCCCUAGGGUUGUAAAGUCCUUUCGACGGAGACGAUAAUGACGGUAUCCGUAGAAGAAGCCCCGGCUAAUUUCGUGCCAGCAGCCGCGGUAAUACGAAAGGGGCUAGCGUUGUUCGGAAUUACUGGGCGUAAAGCGCACGUAGGCGGUCGUGUAAGAUGGGGGUGAAAUCCCGGAGCUCAACUCCGGAACUGCCUUCAUGACUGCAUGGCUAGAGGAUGCGAGAGGCUGGCGGAAUUCCGAGUGUAGAGGUGAAAUUCGUAGAUAUUCGGAAGAACACCAGUGGCGAAGGCGGCCAACUGGCGCAUUUCUGACGCUGAGGUGCGAAAGCGUGGGGAGCAAACAGGAUUAGAUACCCAUGUAGUCCCUGAGCGGGCUGGCAAGGCGCAU
This 447-nucleotide ribosomal RNA is filed under the name uncultured bacterium. Its description in RNAcentral is "bacterial SSU rRNA". It matches the Rfam family "Bacterial small subunit ribosomal RNA", at positions 355 to 825 of the family's 1533-position model. The record is from RNAcentral.